GACGAACGCUGGCGGCGUGCUUAACACAUGCAAGUCGAACGGAAAGGCCCCUUUGGGGGUCCUCGAGUGGCGAACGGGUGAGUAACACGUGAGUAACCUGCCCUUGACUUCGGGAUAACUUCAGGAAACUGGGGCUAAUACCGGAUAGGAAUCCUUGCUGCAUGGUGGGGGUUGGAAAGCUUCGGCGGUUUUGGAUGGACUCGCGGCUUAUCAUCUUGUUGGUGGGGGAGUGGCUUACCAAGGCUUUGACGGGUAGCCGGCCUGAGAGGGCGACCGGCCAGAUUGGGACUGAGAUACGGCCCAGACUCCUACGGGAGGCAGCAGUGGGGAAUAUUGCAGAAUGGGCGGAAGCCUGAUGCAGCAACGCCGCGUGCGGGAUGACGGCCUUCGGGUUGGAAACCGCUUUCAGCAGGGGCGAAGCUUGUGGUGACGGUACCUGCAGAAGAAGCACCGGCUAACUACGUG
RNAcentral lists this ribosomal RNA (465 nucleotides) under uncultured bacterium. RNAcentral's name for it is "partial 16S ribosomal RNA". It matches the Rfam family "Bacterial small subunit ribosomal RNA", at positions 28 to 507 of the family's 1533-position model. The record is from RNAcentral.